CCUACGGGUGGCAGCAGUGAGGAAUAUUGGUCAAUGGUCGGGAGACUGAACCAGCCAAGCCGCGUGAGGGAGGAAGGUACAGAGUAUCGUAAACCUCUUUUGUCAGGGAACAAAGGCGGGGACGUGUCCCCGGCUGGGUGUACCUGAAGAACAAGCAUCGGCUAACUCCGUGCCAGCAGCCGCGGUAAUACGGAGGAUGCGAGCUUUAUCCGGUUUUGUUGGGUUAAACGGGUGCGCAGUCGGUCUGUUCAGUCACCGGUCAAAGCCCGGGGCUCAACCCCGGCCCGCCGUUGAAACUGGCAGUCUCGAGUUGGAGAGAAGUAUGCGGAAGGCGCGGUGUAGCGGUGAAAUGCAUAGAUAUCGCGCAGAACUCCGAUUGCGAAGGCAGCAUGCCGGCUCCACACUGACGCUGAGGCACGAAAGCGUGGGUAUCGAACAGGAUUAGAUAUCCUUGUAGUC
This 459-nucleotide ribosomal RNA is filed under the name uncultured bacterium. Its description in RNAcentral is "partial 16S ribosomal RNA". It matches the Rfam family "Bacterial small subunit ribosomal RNA", at positions 338 to 795 of the family's 1533-position model. The record is from RNAcentral.